Non-coding RNA from Equus caballus (horse), 2413 nucleotides. NCBI's taxonomy places the organism in Eukaryota, Metazoa, Chordata, Mammalia, Perissodactyla, Equidae. The record is from RefSeq and is a predicted model, not a curated record.
CGCCACACCCAGACGUGAUUCUCUACCCGCCUCCAGCCUGGACGUGUUUGAGGCCCGGACUCUAGGACUGCUCCAGCCCUUGGUCCGGGAUGCCCCGGCCUGGCCCUGAAGUCCCGCCCGCUGGUUUGGGGAGAACGUGGCGUCAGGUUGGCUCCGAGGCGAGAAGCGCGGAGCGUGGCCGUGGUCACAGUUGGCCAUGAACGCUUUCUUGGGUGGCAGUGAAGGGUGAAGGGAAGGGAGGUGGCGUAAUGCCGCCGGACGCCCGGGACUAGGAGGGACGGCAUUUGGCAAAUCCUACGCGGUGUUUGCUAAGUGGUGGCCGAGAGUCGGUUUCCUCGGCCUCGUUGGGUCGUUCGCAAGGGAGGCCAGUGCCCUGCAAAGUGAGGCCGCACUGGUUUUCUCAAGACUGAGGGGGCGUCCGAAAUGGAACAGAUAUUUGUUGAAUGGAUGACUGAACAAAGGGAAUGCCUUUAGGGAUGUUUUGGGGGAGCCCUCGGAUCCGCACGAGGGCCUGGAGCUGGGGUCGGCAGGCGAGCCUCGCAGCCCGCGGGUCCUGCGGAGCCCGGAGCGACUCCGGGCCCGGCGUCCUGGGCGCUCGAACUCCGCGGGCUCCGACUCUCGCGGUGCUGGGGACCUCGACGCUGCAACUGCGGCCGGGAGCCGCGUUAAGGGAGUCUGCAGUGGGUAGGCAGCACGUGCCCGGCGGGCUAAAGCAAAAGUAGCGUGGGGAUUUUAAGGGAAAAUUUACAAAGUUUGAUUUAAGAAACGUCAAAAACUUAGCAACAAAAUGAAUCUUAAAGCCAUCCACUUCUAAAUGUCUGUAUUUGUGUUUAUACCCCGCAGGUCUUCUCUCCCUCGUACUGUUUCUCGAAAAGGAGGGUAAACAGUUUUCCGCACCUUUACGUUGGGGAGUUGUAAAGUCAGUAAGAUAACAAGAAACAACUGCGAGAAAUCAGUGACUGUAAUUGCUUGUAAAUAUUUCCACCAAAAUAAUGAGUAGUGUUUGAUGGGGUCAGUUUAAUCAACAAGUUCAUUACCAAAUCAGUCGUUCUUUCAUUAUGUUGUAAGAAGUAUACAGUUAAAACUAGACCCAGAGCACGCUAACAUUAAUCUGGCUGUUAAGACUACUUUAUAAAAUGUUAUAUACAGUGUAUUUUCAAAUUCUUUAAGCGAUCAAAACCCACUUGCUAUAUAGAUUUUUUUUCAUCUGAAAUUGCGAAAAUUAUUUUCUCUCCUUUUCAGUUUUUCUACCAAGUAACUAAAACUUCGCAUUGGGCAUUUUUUCUAUUUUUGAGAUAUGUUUUCAAAGAAAAGUUAGAGUAGAAUGAAAAUGAGAAUCUUUGGAUACAAAUGAGAAAAAUCUAAUGUUAUAUGAAAAUUCUAUUCUUAAUCAAUUUGAAAUGUUCAUAUGUUACAGAAAACAGCAAACCAAUGCUUAAUGAGAAAUGAAACACUUAUGAAUCUUAAAGAACAAGGAGAGAAAAAUUUGUCCGUGAACUUUGUGCUUUUUUAGACAGUAGUCAAUCUAUGUUUCAAGAGAACAGGCAAGCUACAUGAAUUAUCAUUGAAAGAAUACAGCAACAUCUACUCACUACGACUUAAUUGAGGAAUAAUAUUGGGAGUUAGACUUUUAUUUCCUGGUGAUGUAGUGAUUUCAACUCAGAGGCUAUAGAAUGAUUCAGUUCCUGGUCAGAGGAAUGCUCAAGUUUAAAGAGUACCAUGAUAGAAUGAAAAGAACACUGAAUUGAGAGCCAGGACUGUAACAACACAAACUAGAGAAGAUGACAUAAGGUACAAAAAAGCAAAUUGGCGCUGAACUAAUAUCUGUUGCCAGUCCUCUUCUAUUUUGUAUGCGGGAUGCCACCACAGCUUGACUUGAUGAGCAGUGUGUAGGUCUGCACCCAGGAUCCAAACCUGUGAACCCCGGGCCACUGAAGCAGAGUGUGCAAACUUAACCACUAUGCCACCAGGCCAGUCCUGAAUCUAAUAAUUCUUGAUGCUAUUAUUGAUCCCCGUGGCACCACUGGAUAAUUUUUUUUUUCUGCUGAGGAAGAUUAGCCCUGAGUUAACAUCUGUUGUCCAUCUUCCUGUUUUUUUUCGCUUGAGGAAGAUUAGCCCUGAGCUAAUGUGUGCCAGUCUGCCUCGACUUUGUAUGUGGGUUGUUGCCACAGCAUGCCUGACAAGUGGUGUAGGUCUCCGUGUAGGAUCUGAACCUGUGAACCUGGGCUGCUGAAGCAGAGAAUGCUGAACUUAACCACUAUGCCACGGGGCUGGCCCCUGGAUAACUUUCUGUUUAGAGACCUUGGCCACAAAUACUACAUAAACAUAGUGAUAUAUAAUUUAUCUAUUGUAGUACUGAGUUUUUUUCUAUCAACUUAAAGGCACAAAUUAAAGAACCAUUUUCACAAGUUAA